AUUGAACGCUGGCGGCAGGCUUAACACAUGCAAGUCGAGCGGAUGAAGGGAGUUUGCUCCUGGCUUCAGCGGCGGACGGGUGUGUAAUGCCUAGGAAUCUGCCUGGUAGUGGGGGAUAACGUCCGGAACCGGGCGCUAUACCCGAAUACGUUCUGUGGGAGAAAGUGGGGGUUGUUCGGCCUUCACGCUAUCAGAUGAGCUCAGGUCGGAUUAGCUAGUUGGUGGGGUAAAGGCCUACCAAGGCGACGAUCGGUAACUGGUCUGAGAGGAGGAUCAGUCACAGUGGAGCUGAGAGACGAUCCAGGGACCGACGGACGGCAGCGAUGGGGAAUAUAGGACGAAGGGCGAAAGCCUGAUCCAGGCGUGGCGGCUGGGUGAAGAAGGUCUGCGGAUGGUAUAGCGCUUUAAGUUGGGAGAAAGGGCAGUAAGUGAAGACCUUGCUGUUUUGACGUUACCAGCAGAAGAAGCACCGGCUAACUUCGUG
This 484-nucleotide ribosomal RNA is filed under the name uncultured bacterium. Its description in RNAcentral is "partial 16S ribosomal RNA". It matches the Rfam family "Bacterial small subunit ribosomal RNA", at positions 30 to 507 of the family's 1533-position model. The record is from RNAcentral.